AUACCUUAGUACGGCGAGUGAGCGGUAAAAGCUCAAAUUUGAAAUCUGGUACUUUCAGUGCCCGAGUUGUAAUUUGUAGAAUUUGUCUUUGAUUAGGUCCUUGUCUAUGUUCCUUGGAACAGGACGUCAUAGAGGGUGAGAAUCCCGUUUGGCGAGGAUACCUUUUCUCUGUAAGACUUUUUCGAAGAGUCGAGUUGUUUGGGAAUGCAGCUCAAAGUGGGUGGUAAAUUCCAUCUAAAGCUAAAUAUUGGCGAGAGACCGAUAGCGAACAAGUACAGUGAUGGAAAGAUGAAAAGAACUUUGAAAAGAGAGUGAAAAAGUACGUGAAAUUGUUGAAAGGGAAGGGCAUUUGAUCAGACAUGGUGUUUUUUGCAUGCACUCGCCUCUCGUGGGCUUGGGCCUCUCAAAAAUUUCACUGGGCCAACAUCAAUUCUGGCAGCAGGAUAAAUCAUUAAGAAUGUAGCUACUUCGGUAGUGUUAUAGCUUUUUGGAAUACUGUUAGCCGGGAUUGAGGACUGCGCUUCGGCAAGGAUGUUGGCAUAAUGGUUAAAUGCCGCCCGUCUUGAAA
RNAcentral lists this ribosomal RNA (568 nucleotides) under Hanseniaspora uvarum. RNAcentral's name for it is "eukaryotic LSU rRNA". It matches the Rfam family "Eukaryotic large subunit ribosomal RNA", at positions 73 to 659 of the family's 3401-position model. Lineage: Eukaryota; Fungi; Ascomycota; Saccharomycetes; Saccharomycodales; Saccharomycodaceae. The record is from RNAcentral.